ACAAAAGUUAGAGCUAAAAUCCGUAAGAGGAAGGUGACAACGAAAAUCAACCAUCAUGACAAAAUCAAUGGAAAGAGGAAGACCGCCAGAAAACAGAAAAUGUUUCAACGUGCGCAAGAGUUGCGGCGGCGAGCAGAGGACUACCACAAAUGCAAAGUAAGGAGCUUCCUCCCUGCAGUUGCAGGAUAGUUCAGUGCUGAUGCAGAUGAUGCCACGGCCCUUAGACUCUCUCAACAUUCAAUUUCUCAUGUGUUGGCUUUUUCAGAUCCCCCCUUCUGCAAGAAAGGCUCUUUGCAACUGGGUCAGAAUGGCGGCAGCGGAGCAUCGUCAUUCUUCAGGAUUGCCCUACUGGC
RNAcentral lists this long non-coding RNA (353 nucleotides) under Homo sapiens (human). RNAcentral describes it as "non-protein coding lnc-NPIPB4-5:13". Lineage: Eukaryota; Metazoa; Chordata; Mammalia; Primates; Hominidae. The record is from RNAcentral.